RNAcentral lists this ribosomal RNA (405 nucleotides) under uncultured bacterium. Its description in RNAcentral is "bacterial SSU rRNA". It matches the Rfam family "Bacterial small subunit ribosomal RNA", at positions 355 to 776 of the family's 1533-position model. The record is from RNAcentral.
UCGGGAAUAUUGUGCAAUGGAGGAAACUCUGACACAGUGACGCCGCGUAUGGGAAGAAGGUUUUCGGAUUGUAAACCAUUGUUGGAGGGGAAGAAACAAGACAGUACCCUCAAAGAAAGCUCCGGCUAACUACGUGCCAGCAGCCGCGGUAAUACGUAGGGAGCGAGCGUUAUCCGGAUUUAUUGGGUGUAAAGGGUGCGUAGACGGGAAUUUAAGUUAGUUGUGAAAUCCCUCGGCUUAACUGAGGAACUGCAACUAAAACUGAAUUUCUUGAGUGCGGGAGAGGAAAGUGGAAUUCCUAGUGUAGCGGUGAAAUGCGUAGAUAUUAGGAGGAACACCAGUGGCGAAGGCGACUUUCUGGACCGUAACUGACGUUGAGGCACGAAAGUGUGGGGAGCAAACAGG